UUUGUUACUUUAGCCUGUUAUCACUUCCUCUCCGCCUCCUUUGACUACAACAUUACUUCCUCUUCACCUCCUUUUUUUCUCUUAUCUCGAUCAUUCUCUCUGGAUGCUUCGCACUGCCAUACUAUUCUACCUUCUUCCGAUCACAUGUUGCUCACUUCUUUUUCCAUCUGCUUCAUUGCAGGUUGAUUCAUCUCUCUUUUUCCUACCACUGCUCCUUCUACAUCCAACCCAUCAAACCUUAAAUCGGCUCUUUCACUGAUGUAGUGAUCAGUCAUGCUAAUUUCUUUCUUUUUACCAUUUCAAAUAUGUUAGGCUGAUAAGAGGACAAAGCUUGAGGUCGAGGUCGUGGCAACCGUGUUUGGAAUCGAGUUGUUUGCCAACAUCAACGAAGGAGAUGUGGUGGCCUAGAGGUUGCUCGAUUUUGUUCCCACUCUAAAAGAGGGGGUUUGCUUCGUUAGCAUUUCAGACAAACCUACACCACCAGAGCACUCAUUGGAACCCCACAUAGUUUAUGAUUUUAGGUUCUUCCAGCAAAAUCAAGUCACAUUUUGUAGAGUGAUUUAGAGACUUUGGAGCAGAAGAAAGCAGAUAAGAGAAUGUUGAAAUUCGUUGAUUAUUAUAAGGUGUGGGCACUUUAAAAAGCUUGCUUCUGAAUAUGAAAAGCUUGGUAUAAGCUUCAAAAAAUUGAAAUAUGUUUUGAUCGGAAAGGUAAACAUUUGUCAUUCUUACAUAUGUUUGUAAGAUAAGUUUUCAUAAUUGCUCAAAUGUUCCAUACAUCGAAUGCUAUAAGGCCCAGGAGUGCCAAUUUGUGUUCAAACAUGGUAAGUUUAUAAACCUAUUGUAUUUUAAGGCAUGUUUUUUGAUACUUUUAUUUUAUUCUUUCUUUUACCUAUUUAUCAAAUAUUUUGUCCUGAUUACUUAAUCUAGAUAAUGCCUCUUUAAACAAAUUAUUGUUCCAUGUUCCAGUUUUAUUAAUUUUCAAUAGUUUGAAAUCUCAUUUUAUAAUUAUUAAUGGUGUAUGUAUCUUUCUGAUGGACAAAUUCAUUUUCUUUUUUUCUCUUUCAACAUCAAGAACAGAUAUUUAUAUGUCAUAUGAAUUUCAUUAUGAAGAUAUGGUUUCCAGUGAGUUAUAUUUUUUUGUUUUUGGUUUUCUUAAAGAUUUGCUUUUAUAAAAUUUGGUCAUUUAUGUUAUGAAUCUCCAUGGGUUGACUUUUGACACGUAAUAUACCCAAUUUGUUUGGAAAUGUAAUUACUAUGCAUAUCUCUUUUAUUUAAAUGAAAGAAACCUAUGAUUAUUCUCAUUAUUUUCUGUUUGCAGUGGUGGCUACAAUAUCAAGAGAUGACCAAUAUGCUCACCCUAUCAUCAUUUUUAUAAAAAAUCAACCUAUAAUCAACUACUUGUAAUCAGUUUUUUUCGGAAAACAAUGCAAUUUCAAUCAAUAAAUAUAUUUCAAAAAUUAAUUAGGGUUGUAUAAAUGGUAAAAUGGAAAGAGAGCUUAAAGCAAACUACAAAAUCUAAAUUUCUUUUGGUCUCAACCUUAGAACGGCACAUCA
Non-coding RNA from Lactuca sativa (garden lettuce), 1554 nucleotides. Lineage: Eukaryota; Viridiplantae; Streptophyta; Magnoliopsida; Asterales; Asteraceae. The record is from RefSeq and is a predicted model, not a curated record.